GCUGGGUGUGGUGACACACGCCUGUAAUCCCAGUGGCUCAGGAGGCUGAGGCAGGAGGAUCCUGAGUUCAAAGCCAGCCUCAG
RNAcentral lists this small RNA (83 nucleotides) under Marmota monax (woodchuck). Lineage: Eukaryota; Metazoa; Chordata; Mammalia; Rodentia; Sciuridae. The record is from RNAcentral.